CUUUGGUAUAACUCAAGUGAAGAUGACCCUGCAUCUCUACUGAACCAUCUCACAGGGCUUUCAAGAAAUAUGGGCCUUUCAAACCACAUUUUUGACACAUCAUGCCUACAAUGGCACAGAUCACAUUCCUGUGGCUUCAAACAUCUGCUCCCAAAGCAUGUUUCAGUGGUGGCUACAGCCGAGAGGUGCAUCAGUGUUACCCCAGUCUUGCACCCAAGGACCCUCACUUGGGGAGCCCCAGGCCCUCCAGAGUCCUGGAUCCACGCCUCUUGUGGAGGCACCAUCUGUCUCUCGAUCCUCCCAUAGCCCAGUGGUGUUCCUGAGAGAGCUGUGUGCUGGCCUCUCCCUCUGACCUAUGUUGACCUCACCAAGCUCCAGCUACAAGGCUGGCCUCUGUCCUGAUGGCUGUUCUCAUUGGAUGUGGCCAAUGCUACUUUGUCGCUAUGUCCAAGAUCCUUGUCUGGAGUGAACACAUUUGGAAUUAGGAGUUUCUAAGAAACGUCCAUUGUAGUUUGAGCUCUAGCUGUUCAUUCUUGGUGGUCAGUAAGUCACUUUUUUGGCUUUGCCUGACAAUACAUAUGACCUCUGAGGCUCAAGUUCUCCACCCACAAAAUGAAGCCAUUUGUUCCCAUGUCAUUGUCUGGCUAUGAGGCUGGGAGGUUAUGGCCUUGGUACUCAUAAUCACUGGCGUACAGUUCACACUGGUGCUCAGUCCAUCUUUAUUCCUGCCCUUUCUUCUUUCAUAAUUUCUCCAGGGUCACGCCAGAGAUUGGAGAAGAUGAAGAUAUCAGAAGGUGUAAUGCUGGCAUUGUUCCAUAGCAACGGGCCUUAGGUACAUGGCAGAAAAAGAGAGAGAAAAAGUUGUUCCCUUCUCAUAGUGUCCCUACCUGGAGUUAGCUGUCAGCCAAAAGCACUUUAAUGUAUCACGUCCUGGUGGCUACACAGGUUACACAAUUGUCAAAACCCAUUGGGCUGCACACUUAAUACCUAUGCAUUUU
Molecule: long non-coding RNA, 998 nt
Filed under: Homo sapiens (human)
Lineage: Eukaryota; Metazoa; Chordata; Mammalia; Primates; Hominidae
Description: HSALNT0247761
Source: RNAcentral